Physeter macrocephalus (sperm whale) is the source of this 149-nucleotide small nucleolar RNA. The record is from Ensembl. NCBI's taxonomy places the organism in Eukaryota, Metazoa, Chordata, Mammalia, Artiodactyla, Physeteridae.
AGUUGUGGUGGUUUUCUUUUUGGCACAUUUGUUAAGUUUUCAAACGGUCCUGACUCUGCCACAGAUAUUAUACAGGAGCUGGCAAAGACUUCAUGACAAAGAGAUCUCUUUCUAGCCUUUCCUGAACCAGAGAUUGGGCUCCCACAAGU